AUUGAACGCUGGCGGCAUGCUUUACACAUGCAAGUCGAACGGCAGCGGGGAGGAGCUUGCUUCUCUGCCGGCGAGUGGCGAACGGGUGAGUAAUACAUCGGAACGUGUCGAGAAGAGGGGGAUAACCACCCGAAAGGGUGGCUAAUACCGCAUAAAUUCUGAGGAAGAAAGCUGGGGACCUGGGAAUAGGCCUAGCGCUUUUUGAGCGGCCGAUGUCGGAUUAGCUAGUUGGUGAGGUAAAGGCUCACCAAGGCGAAGAUCUGUAGCGGGUCUGAGAGGAUGAUCCGCCACACUGGGACUGAGACACGGCCCAGACUCCUACGGGAGGCAGCAGUGGGGAAUUUUGGACAAUGGGGGCAACCCUGAUCCAGCCAUGCCGCGUGUAUGAAGAAGGCCUUAGGGUUGUAAAGUACUUUUGUUAGGGAAGAAAAGUAAGCUGUGAAUAAUGGCUGAUACUGACGGUACCUAAAGAAUAAGCACCGGCUAACUACGUG
RNAcentral lists this ribosomal RNA (494 nucleotides) under uncultured bacterium. RNAcentral describes it as "partial 16S ribosomal RNA". It matches the Rfam family "Bacterial small subunit ribosomal RNA", at positions 30 to 507 of the family's 1533-position model. The record is from RNAcentral.